This 253-nucleotide ribosomal RNA is filed under the name uncultured bacterium. Its description in RNAcentral is "partial 16S ribosomal RNA". It matches the Rfam family "Bacterial small subunit ribosomal RNA", at positions 524 to 776 of the family's 1533-position model. The record is from RNAcentral.
UACGUAGGGGGCUAGCGUUGUCCGGAUUUAUUGGGCGUAAAGGGCGCGUAGGCGGCGCGGUAAGUCACUUGUGAAAUCUCUGAGCUUAACUCAGAACGGCCAAGUGAUACUGCAGUGCUAGAGUGUGGAAGGGGCAAUCGGAAUUCUUGGUGUAGCGGUGAAAUGCGUAGAUAUCAAGAGGAACACCUGAGGUGAAGACGGGUUGCUGGGCCAACACUGACGCUGAGGCGCGAAAGCCAGGGGAGCAAACGGG